Sorghum bicolor (sorghum) is the source of this 913-nucleotide long non-coding RNA. RefSeq lists it as uncharacterized. NCBI's taxonomy places the organism in Eukaryota, Viridiplantae, Streptophyta, Magnoliopsida, Poales, Poaceae. The transcript has 5 exons. The record is from RefSeq and is a predicted model, not a curated record.
CUGGCUGCCGCUCGCAUUGCAUCGCACGCGUCUGGAGCCGGCAGCGGGGAACGGCGGAGGCAGGGGCGGAAGGAAAGGGCGAGCACGGCGGCACUCGCACGCGCCCUACCCCUCGGCCCUCUCCCCUUGGCUCUGCGGCGCUGCGCGAGCGUGACCUGCGCGGGCGCGACUGCGCCCAACCCAACCCUGGCGGCCGGCACCCGGCGUCCCGGCCCUGGCGGGCGGCGGCACGGUUUGGCUCCGGCUUGCUGCUUGUGCUUGAGCCUUGAAGGUUGAACCGUUGAAGCAAGGAAGGAGUAUCCAGGCCUUGAUGAUAAUGGAACCAAAACAUUCAGCUGAAAUGUCCAAGCAUCUGGAGAAACAAAAUCAAGCACUAAUGGGAACAUACCGAGCAAUGUCUCACGAGUUGCAUAAACUUCAGGUAGAAGAAGAAGCAAUCAUGCACAAACUGUAUGAACUUAUGUCUGCAGAAGGUCUCCUUCCAAAGCACAAGAAAGAAAAGCAUUUGGAGAGAGAUGUCAAGCAAUCAACUGUGGCAGGAAAACAAAGGACGGAACCAUAGAAAGCAAACUUCAAAUUGCAAUAUGAUCUGACUUUGAGUUCAGCUGAAGACUAGAUGGUGCCUAUCUUCUCCAAUGCCAUACUCUGCCACCGCAGCUCAAGUUUCUUCUAUGAUUUAGAAAUUUGGUGGAGACUUCAAAUGUUUGUAUGAUCUAGUAUUUUCCGAACUGCAUGAUGGAAACUUGAAUCUGAUCAUUUGUUUUAUGAGGAAUCAUUUUAUUGUUUAUCUGUUGCAACCGGAUUCACGAUUUCCUUUCCAUGCUUGUCAUGAAAACUUUCAUAGUGUGAUAGAUUUUUAUGGAUGUGUCAAGUUUGUAUCUAUAUAGUGCUAUCAGAAUCUUUGGACGCCAAA